This 497-nucleotide ribosomal RNA is filed under the name uncultured bacterium. RNAcentral describes it as "partial 16S ribosomal RNA". It matches the Rfam family "Bacterial small subunit ribosomal RNA", at positions 28 to 507 of the family's 1533-position model. The record is from RNAcentral.
GAUGAACGCUGGCGGCGUGCCUAAUACAUGCAAGUCGAGCGAACGGACGAGAAGCUUGCUUCUCUGAUGUUAGCGGCGGAUGGGUGAGUAACACGUGGAUAACCUACCUAUAAGACUGGGAUAACUUCGGGAAACCGGAGCUAAUACCGGAUAAUAUUUUGAACCGCAUGGUUCAAAAGUGAAAGACGGUCUUGCUGUCACUUAUAGAUGGAUCCGCGCUGCAUUAGCUAGUUGGUAAGGUAACGGCUUACCAAGGCAACGAUGCAUAGCCGACCUGAGAGGGUGAUCGGCCACACUGGAACUGAGACACGGUCCAGACUCCUACGGGAGGCAGCAGUAGGGAAUCUUCCGCAAUGGGCGAAAGCCUGACGGAGCAACGCCGCGUGAGUGAUGAAGGUCUUCGGAUCGUAAAACUCUGUUAUUAGGGAAGAACAUAUGUGUAAGUAACUGUGCACAUCUUGACGGUACCUAAUCAGAAAGCCACGGCUAACUACGUG